CAAAUCUAUGGAAAAGAAAAGAUCUUGAACACAAUAUUUAUUCUUCUUUCGAUUUGCUAUCUUUUGCAGACAAUUGCAUUGGCCAUCACAAUUGGGAUUGUUGUCCACAUAUACUUGCUUAUGUACCAUGUGAUUUUCCAAGAUUAAUCACAUGCCCAAAGCCAAAAUUCAUUAGUUUAUUAGACCCAAUUUCAACUAUCAGCAACCCACAUAUUCAACUCUAUUAUCCAGCGCUCCAGCGGUCACUGGUAUUCUCAUGGUCAUCAUAAUGACAUUCUCUUUCACCCGAGCAACACAUUCUUUCAGGAGAAGUGUGGUGAAGUUGCCAUCACCUCCGCACCACUUGGCUGGAGUCAAUGCAUUUUGGUAUGCCCACCAUCUUCUGGUGCUUGUGUAUGUCUUCCUUGUUGUGCAUUCCUACUUCAUUUAUCUCACAAGGGAAUGGUUCAAGAAGAUGUUGGGGCCAUGCCUUCUCUGUGGUACAAAAAUUUUCCCAUCAUUAUCACCAAAUAUCAAUGAUAUGAAGAAAAAAAAUCUAAUGUUUGUGCAGACAUGGAUUUAUGUAUCGAUUCCAGUCCUCUUUUAUGCAUAUGAAAGACUACUCGGAAAAUUUUGUGAGAAAAAUUAUCGUGUGAGCAUUGUUAAGGUAAGCUACUCAUCUCGAUAUAUAUGGCCUCAAGUAGUAGGAGAAUGAGCAUUCACUGUUAAAUCAACAGAAAAUGAAUAAAUUUAUAUCUUCUAUGUAUCAUACAGGAAGCAAUAUAUCCAGGCAAUGUCCCUUCAAUACAUAUCAAAAAGCCACCAGGGUUCAAAUACAAGAGUGGAAUGUGCCUGUUUGUCAAGUGUCCAGAUGCCUCACCCUUCGAACGGUAUAUGUUAACUAGCUCCAGGGAUAAUAUGUCUAAAUUGUAAUUUUCCUGUAUUCAGCUUCUAAUUUGAAUAUUUUAACAGGCACUCCUUCUCCAUCACUUCUGCACCAGGAGAUGACUACUUGAGUGUUCACAUCCGGACCUUGGGAGACUGGACAACAGAGCUCAGGUAUUUGGAAAGGUUAGGUCAAGUCAAUAACAUCAACUAGAAAUUCUAGGGAAUAUUAAAUUAUGGAGGCCAGAAUAACUAAAGCAAACUUCUCUGAUUCAGGUUCGUGAGUCUCAAGUUGAGUCUAAGAAGGCCAACCUAGUUAGACUUGAAACAACAGUUGUAGCAGAUGCUCAAAUUCAAGAAACUAUGUGAGCACAAAAUAUAUUAUUGUUUUUACCCACUCACUCUGCGCAAAAUUUCAGCAAGACCCAGCUUCCCAUGGAAAUAGAAUUCUCUUGCAGAUCCCCAAAGCUCCUGAUAGAUGGGCCUUAUGGUGCUCCUGAUAGAUGGGCCUUAUGGUGCUCCAGCUCAAAAUUACAAAAAAUAUGAU
RNAcentral lists this long non-coding RNA (1411 nucleotides) under Elaeis guineensis (African oil palm). Its description in RNAcentral is "long non-coding RNA (EGUI_LNC057671)". Lineage: Eukaryota; Viridiplantae; Streptophyta; Magnoliopsida; Arecales; Arecaceae. The record is from RNAcentral.